RNAcentral lists this ribosomal RNA (498 nucleotides) under uncultured bacterium. RNAcentral describes it as "partial 16S ribosomal RNA". It matches the Rfam family "Bacterial small subunit ribosomal RNA", at positions 30 to 523 of the family's 1533-position model. The record is from RNAcentral.
AUUGAACGCUGGCGGCAUGCCUUACACAUGCAAGUCGAACGGCAGCACGGGGCAACCUGGUGGCGAGUGGCGAACGGGUGAGUAAUGUAUCGGAACGUACCAUUGAGUGGGGGAUAACGUAGCGAAAGUUACGCUAAUACCGCAUAUUCUCUCCGGAGGAAAGCAGGGGACCGCAAGGCCUUGCGCUCUUUGAGCGGCCGAUAUCAGAUUAGCUAGUUGGUGGGGUAAAAGCUCACCAAGGCGACGAUCUGUAGCGGGUCUGAGAGGAUGAUCCGCCACACUGGAACUGAGACACGGUCCAGACUCCUACGGGAGGCAGCAGUGGGGAAUUUUGGACAAUGGGGGCAACCCUGAUCCAGCCAUGCCGCGUGAGUGAAGAAGGCCUUCGGGUUGUAAAGCUCUUUCGGCCGGGAAAAAAUCGCAUGGGUUAAUACCCUGUGUGGAUGAUGGUACCGGAAUAAGAAGCACCGGCUAACUACGUGCCAGCCGCCGCGGUAA